Molecule: ribosomal RNA, 831 nt
Filed under: Cystoderma amianthinum
Lineage: Eukaryota; Fungi; Basidiomycota; Agaricomycetes; Agaricales; Squamanitaceae
Description: partial large subunit ribosomal RNA
Rfam family: Eukaryotic large subunit ribosomal RNA
Source: RNAcentral
GAUUCCCCUAGUAACUGCGAGUGAAGCGGGAAAAGCUCAAAUUUAAAAUCUGAUAGUCUUAGGCUGUCCGAGUUGUAAUCUAGAGAAGUGUUAUCCGCGCUGGACCGUGUACAAGUCUCCUGGAAUGGAGCGUCAUAGAGGGUGAGAAUCCCGUCUUUGACACGGACUACCAGGGCUUUGUGAUGCGCUCUCAAAGAGUCGAGUUGUUUGGGAAUGCAGCUCAAAAUGGGUGGUAAAUUCCAUCUAAAGCUAAAUAUUGGCGAGAGACCGAUAGCGAACAAGUACCGUGAGGGAAAGAUGAAAAGAACUUUGGAAAGAGAGUUAAACAGUACGUGAAAUUGCUGAAAGGGAAACGCUUGAAGUCAGUCGCGUUGGCCAGGGAUCAACCUUGCUCUUGCUGGGUGUACUUUCUGGUUAACGGGUCAACAUCAAUUUUGAUUGUUGGAAAAAGAUCAAGGGAAUGUAGCAUCUUCGGAUGUGUUAUAGCCUUUGGUUGUAUACAACAAUUGGGAUUGAGGAACUCAGCACGCCGAAAGGCCGGGUUUUUAACCACGUUCGUGCUUAGGAUGUUGGCAUAAUGGCUUUAAUCGACCCGUCUUGAAACACGGACCAAGGAGUCUAACAUGCCUGCGAGUGUUUGGGUGGAAAACCCGAGCGCGUAAUGAAAGUGAAAGUUGAGAUCCCUGUCGCGGGGAGCAUCGACGCCCGGACCAGAAAUUUAUGGACGGUUCCGCGGUAGAGCAUGUAUGUUGGGACCCGAAAGAUGGUGAACUAUGCCUGAAUAGGGUGAAGCCAGAGGAAACUCUGGUGGAGGCUCGUAGCGAUUCUGAC